This 438-nucleotide ribosomal RNA is filed under the name uncultured bacterium. RNAcentral's name for it is "bacterial SSU rRNA". It matches the Rfam family "Bacterial small subunit ribosomal RNA", at positions 338 to 773 of the family's 1533-position model. The record is from RNAcentral.
CCUACGGGUGGCAGCAGUGAGGAAUAUUGGUCAAUGGACGCAAGUCUGAACCAGCCAUGCCGCGUGCAGGAAGAAGGUGCUAUGCAUUGUAAACUGCUUUUAUACGGGGGUAAUUACAGAUACGUGUAUCUGGAUGAAAGUACCGUAUGAAUAAGGAUCGGCUAACUCCGUGCCAGCAGCCGCGGUAAUACGGAGGAUCCGAGCGUUAUCCGGAUUUAUUGGGUUUAAAGGGUGCGUAGGCGGUCAGGUAAGUUAGAGGUGAAAGCUCGAUGCUCAACAUCGAAACUGCCUCUGAUACUGUCUGACUAGAGUGUAGUUGCGGAAGGCGGAAUGUGUGGUGUAGCGGUGAAAUGCUUAGAUAUCACACAGAACACCGAUUGCGAAGGCAGCUUUCCAAGCUAUUACUGACGCUGAGGCACGAAAGCGUGGGGAGCGAAC